Coregonus clupeaformis (lake whitefish) is the source of this 971-nucleotide long non-coding RNA. RefSeq lists it as uncharacterized. The record is from RefSeq and is a predicted model, not a curated record. The transcript has 2 exons. Lineage: Eukaryota; Metazoa; Chordata; Actinopteri; Salmoniformes; Salmonidae.
UGUUGUAGACAAGGAUGCCUCAAAAUAGCCUCAGUUAGCCUUGCUACUUUAGCUAGCUAGCUUCUUUACAAUGAUUUGAUGCAGUCAAGACAGGCACUACCAGAUGGUACAGUAUGAUAGACAAACUUGUUGCUGCCAUAGGUUAUCUACUGUAACUAGCAUGAGCUGGUUUGGCUACUUUCUCUCUCUCCCACUGUGGCACACACAUAAGACUGUCACUCACACCGACCCCUGCUCUUCUAUCGCCCCUCCCCCACCCUUCCAAGCAGAGCGCAGUGCACCGGCUCUCUCGUGAGUCGUGCAAGCAAAUCUCCAUUGAAGUAAAAAAAAAAAAGUAACAUUAAAAUCUUUAACAUUUAUUUCGACCCAAUGUGAUGCAACAGUAACAAUAUUGAGUCUCUAGCUUGCCUAAGAUACUCUGUAUUCAUUUUCCCUGUCGGAUCGGAAUUUCCUGCCAGAUUUAGUGCCGCGCUUAAUGAUUGACGAGACUUCUGCCAUGAGCUGAUUGGUUGACUAAGUUAUGACCAGGAAGAGACCACUUCGCUGAAUCGCUAGCAGAGGUGGCUUUAUUACAGUUAUGUUAGCUUGAUGCCAGAAGCUUCUCUACAGAAUACUUUGCAUAGCCAACAGGCGAAAAUGGAAAACGAUAGAGCCUGGGCCAAGACUAGAGUGAACCUCGGAUUUGCGUUCACAACCUGGAGAGGGCUAGCUAGCUAACGAUAGCUAGGGGACUCAAAACCGACAAAGAAUUGUCCUUAUUUCUGCUGAAAAGGUCUUCGUCUGAGCUUGACUACAGCAGCACUUGACUACAACAUCAAUAAUCAUCGUCCAGCCAUGGAGAACGCUUACGGGAAAUGUGUACCUACAGAGUACUCAGAAAUGUUGAUGAAAGGCGCCUUCAACCAAACAUAUGAAUCAUAUGUAAAUAAGGGACGUUUGUGUGGGCAACAAUAAACUUGUGUGAGAAACCA